This is a non-coding RNA of Arachis ipaensis, 2415 nucleotides long. Lineage: Eukaryota; Viridiplantae; Streptophyta; Magnoliopsida; Fabales; Fabaceae. The record is from RefSeq and is a predicted model, not a curated record.
GUUAUGAAUUGAUAAUCUUUUGUGUUGCUGCUAUACUUGAGGGAGAUCCUUGCUUCAGCUUUACAUCCAACUUAUGCUCCCUUUCUGCUGAUAGGACUGUGAAAGUGUAGCAUAAAAAGUUGCAGCGAAAUCUGUUUUGCUCUGACACUAUGCCGAAAUUACCUUUGCAGAGUAGUAGAGCUUAUCUUGCAGAAAAGAGAAAACAGAAAUGAGUGAGAAACUAGCAGUUUGCUAAAUGAUAUUGCCAAGAAGUUUGCAGUGAUUGGAUGGAGUCCUGGAGCUUAGAAGUUCUGGAUCACUACCACUUCACUUGCAGUCUAAUAUCUGUCCUAAAGUCUCACAUUCUUGCAGAGGAUGCAUGACCUAUCACAUUCCGGUGGAAAACUAAAUAGUGCAUAUUGUUGUUUUAAUGAAAAUGUUUGGGGGGUGUGUGUCAGAGUGUGUGUGUGUGUGCAUGAUCAUUUCUAAGUAUUGAGUUAUUGUCACUUCUUUGCGCUUAUGUUUGUGAUAACUAAUAAUAUUAAAGGAAUAAUGCUUUAUUUGCCUGAACUAAAAAUCCUAAACUGCUUAUUAUUUUGAAAUGCAUGUUUUCCAGUUGACCCUCAAUAACAUGAAUCACUGUUUUUAUCACAGAUUUACUCUCUUCAACGUACCGCAUAGUUUUUCCAUUCUUAAGAAGCCAUCAAAGGCAUUAAAAAUUGUCAACAAUUGUGAGUUUUAUGAUGCUUGAUGCUCAAGGUUUGGUUACUUUUUUCAACAAGAGCUUUUACCCUUUUGCACUCAUUCCCAUCAUUAUCGCUUUAGCUUUUAUUGGCUAUAUCGAUAUUUCAAUAAUUGGGUCAAAUGCAGCAUGAACUAUUUGUUAGUUUUCAUGUAUGCUUGAAUGAUAUAUGUGAAGGACUGUCAACUGCCUCAUAAGAAACAAACACAACAAUUUGAGCUAUGAUUGAAGACAUACAAAUAAAUGCUGGUUAAUGUUUUCAUAUGCUAAUGCAUCAUCUGCGUGCUGUUUCCCGAUCACCAGGAGGGAACGGAAUAAAAGCCUUAGCACACUUAAUACAAAAUAUGAUUAACUUAGUUACUAGUUAAGUUUCUAUUGUUCUUCUAUCAGCAGAUCAACAGACAGAAAACGCACUAUCUAAAUGGAUCAAUACUGAAGAACACAUGGAAGAGGAAGGUGCAGAUGCAAAUUAGAGGAAAUCAGGCAAGACAACACUUAAUUUGAUGAUUCCUUUUCCAUCCCUAGCUCUUCCAGUAUUUUUCUUUUUCUUUCCUUUUUUCUUUUUGGGUUUUUGGUUUGAUAUUUAUAGCCUGCUGAAGUGGAAAUAAAUUUCCUUUCACUGCAAUGAAAUGGUAACACUGUUCAGUCUAUUUUGAGGUAAAAUUUAUUGAGAAUACCAUAAUAGGAUUCUUUUUAAUCUUGAAUUAUAUAUAUGAAUGGAAGAACAUGUUGAAGGGUAAUGUUGGAGCAAGGUGUGUUGGUUCUUCUCAUGGUUGGCUUGUGCUUUCGGACUAGAACGGAGUUCCAAUUCUUCUAAUCCCCUUGUUCUUGUUCUUGUUCUUCCACUUCCAUUAUCCUGCCCCCUCUUCAUGCAUUCUUGCAACCUGUGACAUAUUCUUACUUUGCUGAAUACUCAAGUAAAACCUUCAUAGUCAAAGAAGUAUUGAUGUGUUCUUCCUCUCCUUCAAGCUACAUUCUUGCCAUCAUAUGUGGUAGAUUGCUUAUUGCAAAUCUGCAAUUUGGGUUAAACUCUGAUUAUGAUAAGCAAUGUUAUCGUGACAUAAAGUUUGGAAUAUUUGUCUGCAAAAUCCUUAAAGACAGCUUUUUGUUACACCAACCAUAGAGGCGCCAAAUUAUGAAGAGGAAGACUAUUUAGGAUAUAAAUUCUCAAGAAAUUUAUACUCGGUAGUAUCUGGAGAAGAAAUCUUGCUGGUAGUAAGGUAAAUUGGGAAUGUUGUGAAUGAAGAUGGGAUGGUAGUAGAAGGAGAUCUUUUGUCAUGUGGGGAUACACAACUAUCUAUUUAUCCUUAUAGGACAAAGUAUUUUACUGUGUAUAAGCUUGAUCUUCAAGACAAAGAAGUGGAAAACGAUGCGAUCUUUACAUCUUGGGUGCUAAUGAGUGUGUAUCAAUGGCUGCCAAAGCUUGCUUGGGUGUGAAGUAAAGUCAACUUCUUCACAGAUGAUAUGUGGGAAGAGAUGACUUUGGACUACAUAUAUGGUAUACAUGUUUGGGGUGUUUUCAAUCAUCAAGAAAAUUGUGUUAAGAGCCUCAUGCCAUUUGCAAAUAGGAUUCAUUCUACACCAAUUUGGUUUAUACAUGACUUGCAUGUACUAAAAUCUUGAUUAUGCUAUAUUAGAUAUUCACCCUUAUCUUUGUUAUUUGAUUCUAAUUCAGGGAUUACUGAUUAGAAUGA